GACGAACGCUGGCGGCGUGCUUAACACAUGCCAGUCGAACGGAAAGGCCCUGCUUUUGUGGGGUGCUCGAGUGGCGAACGGGUGAGUAACACGUGAGUAACCUGCCCUUGACUUUGGGAUAACUUCAGGAAACUGGGGCUAUACCGGAUAGGAGCUCCUGCCGCCUGGUGGGGGUUGGAAAGUUUCGGCGGUUGGGGAUGGACUCGCGGCUUAUCAGCUUGUUGGUGGGGUAGUGGCUUACCAAGGCUUUGACGGGUAGCCGGCCUGAGAGGGUGACCGGCCACAUUGGGACUGAGAUACGGCCCAGACUCCUACGGGAGGCAGCAGUGGGGAAUAUUGCACAAUGGGCGGAAGCCUGAUGCAGCAACGCCGCGUGCGGGAUGACGGCCUUCGGGUUGUAAACCGCUUUCGCCUGUGACGAAGCGUGAGUGACGGUAAUGGGUAAAGAAGCACCGGCUAACUACGUG
Molecule: ribosomal RNA, 467 nt
Filed under: uncultured bacterium
Lineage: Bacteria
Description: partial 16S ribosomal RNA
Rfam family: Bacterial small subunit ribosomal RNA
Source: RNAcentral